AAUUCGCCUUCAUGAAGCUGGAAUUGCUAGUAAUGGCAGGUCAGCAUACUGCCGUGAAUACGUUCCCGGGCCUUGUACACACCGCCCGUCACACCAUGAGAGUUGGAAAUACCCGAAGCCUGUGAGCUAACUGUAAAGAGGCAGCAGUCGAAGGUAGAGCCAAUGAUUGGGGUGAAGUCGUAACAAGGUACC
RNAcentral lists this ribosomal RNA (192 nucleotides) under uncultured bacterium. RNAcentral's name for it is "partial 16S ribosomal RNA". It matches the Rfam family "Bacterial small subunit ribosomal RNA", at positions 1309 to 1500 of the family's 1533-position model. The record is from RNAcentral.